AGUUACAUGGUGUAACGGUGAGCACUCUGGCCUCUGAAUCCAGCAAUCUGAGUUCAAAUCUCAGUGGGACCU
This 72-nucleotide transfer RNA is filed under the name Loxodonta africana (African savanna elephant). It matches the Rfam family "tRNA". Rfam says of the family: Transfer RNA (tRNA) molecules are approximately 80 nucleotides in length. Their secondary structure includes four short double-helical elements and three loops (D, anti-codon, and T loops). The record is from Rfam by way of RNAcentral. Lineage: Eukaryota; Metazoa; Chordata; Mammalia; Proboscidea; Elephantidae.